GAUGAACGCUGGCGGCGUGCCUAAUACAUGCAAGUCGAGCGAACAGACGAGGAGCUUGCUCCUCUGACGUUAGCGGCGGACGGGUGAGUAACACGUGGUUAACCUACCUAUAAGACUGGGAUAACUUCGGGAAACCGGAGCUAAUACCGGAUAAUAUAUUGAACCGCAUGGUUCAAUAGUGAAAGACGGUUUUGCUGUCACUUAUAGAUGGAUCCGCGCCGCAUUAGCUAGUUGGGAAGGUAACGGCUUACCAAGGCAACGAUGCGUAGCCGACCUGAGAGGGUGAUCGGCCACACUGGAACUGAGACACGGUCCAGACUCCUACGGGAGGCAGCAGUAGGGAAUCUUCCGCAAUGGGCGAAAGCCUGACGGAGCAACGCCGCGUGAGUGAUGAAGGUCUUCGGAUCGUAAAACUCUGUUAUUAGGGAAGAACAAAUGUGUAAGUAACUAUGCACGUCUUGACGGUACCUAAUCAGAAAGCCACGGCUAACUACGUG
Molecule: ribosomal RNA, 497 nt
Filed under: uncultured bacterium
Lineage: Bacteria
Description: partial 16S ribosomal RNA
Rfam family: Bacterial small subunit ribosomal RNA
Source: RNAcentral